This 455-nucleotide ribosomal RNA is filed under the name uncultured Bacillota bacterium. RNAcentral's name for it is "bacterial SSU rRNA". It matches the Rfam family "Bacterial small subunit ribosomal RNA", at positions 1 to 449 of the family's 1533-position model. Lineage: Bacteria; Bacillati; Bacillota. The record is from RNAcentral.
AGGGGUUUUNAUCAUGGCUCAGGACGAACGCUGGCGGCGUGCCUAAUACAUGCAGGUCGAGCGGACUUUAAAAGCUUGCUUUUAAAGUUAGCGGCGGACGGGUGAGUAACACGUGGGCAACCUGCCUGUAAGACUGGGAUAACUUCGGGAAACCGGAGCUAAUACCGGAUAAUCCUUUUCUACUCAUGUAGAAAAGCUGAAAGACGGUUUACGCUGUCGCUUACAGAUGGGCCCGCGGCGCAUUAGCUAGUUGGUGAGGUAACGGCUCACCAAGGCAACGAUGCGUAGCCGACCUGAGAGGGUGAUCGGCCACNCUGGGACUGAGACACGGCCCANACUCCUACGGGAGGCAGCAGUAGGGUAAUCUUUCCGCAAUGGACGAAAGUCUGACGGAGCAACGCCGCGUGAGUGAUGAAGGUUUUCGGAUCGUUAAAAAUUCUGUUGUUUAGGGGAAA